GAGGACAUAGCUUAAAUGGAAAAGCCACGGUCUUCAAAAUCGUAAACAUGGGUUCGAGUGCUGUUGCCUUCG
This 72-nucleotide transfer RNA is filed under the name Candidatus Hodgkinia cicadicola. RNAcentral's name for it is "tRNA-Trp". It matches the Rfam family "tRNA". Rfam says of the family: Transfer RNA (tRNA) molecules are approximately 80 nucleotides in length. Their secondary structure includes four short double-helical elements and three loops (D, anti-codon, and T loops). The record is from RNAcentral. Lineage: Bacteria; Pseudomonadati; Pseudomonadota; Alphaproteobacteria; Hyphomicrobiales.